This 250-nucleotide unclassified non-coding RNA is filed under the name plant metagenome. RNAcentral's name for it is "partial contains small subunit ribosomal RNA, internal transcribed spacer 1, and 5.8S ribosomal RNA". The record is from RNAcentral.
GUAGGUGAACCUGCGGAAGGAUCAUUAUUGAAUAAACUUGGUUGGGUUGUUGCUGGCUCCUAGGAGCAUGUGCACGCCUGAUCCAUUUUUAACCCCCUGUGCACCUUGUGUAGACUUAGAACAGCUCUCGAGACAAUGUACUCGGUUUGAGGAUUGCUGGUGUGUAAAGCUCAGCUUUUCUUGCGUUCAAGUCUAUGUCUUAUAUCACACCCCAUAAGAAUGUAUUAGAAUGCAAUAAAUAGGCCAUCGU